RNAcentral lists this ribosomal RNA (253 nucleotides) under uncultured bacterium. RNAcentral's name for it is "partial 16S ribosomal RNA". It matches the Rfam family "Bacterial small subunit ribosomal RNA", at positions 524 to 776 of the family's 1533-position model. The record is from RNAcentral.
UACGUAGGGGGCAAGCGUUGUCCGGAUUUAUUGGGCGUAAAGGGCUCGUAGGCGGUUUGUCGCGUCGGGAGUGAAAUCCACUGGCUUAACUGGUGGCUUGCUUUCGAUACGGGCAGACUGGAGGUAUGCAGGGGAGAACGGAAUUCCUGGUGUAGCGGCGAAAUGCGCAGAUAUCAGGAGGAACACCGGUGGCGAAGGCGGUUCUCUGGGCAUGUCCUGACGCUGAGGAGCGAAAGUGUGGGGAGCGAACAGG